CUUGCGUCACUGUUCCUGUCUCCGUGUAACUCACAAUAAAGAGAUUUUGGCAUCAACUGUGAGCUUAGGGGUAGAAGAAGGGUAUAUGUUAGGAUGUGGGAGCGGAAUCAAUUCUUCAAAUCUUAAUGAUGGUGAAGAAGAGUGCUCACCAGAUUCCCUUCUGGUCUGGAAAAAGAAAUCCCUUCAAUCCCUUCUUUUGUGGAUGUCAUCUCUACCAUCUCGCGAUGAAAAAUAUUUCAAGAGAAUCCUAAGAUGGAGAGAGCAUUGGAAGUCAUCCAGCCCAAUUCCCUCACGCAUUUCAAAGCUUCUUUGUAAGAAAAAUGCCCCCAGAAGUUUGUUUGCAUCAUGAAGAUCAGGUCUUGAGAGAUCCAGUCUGGCUCUUCCCUGUACAAAACAUUCCUCACAAACAGAAUAUGGACAAUUGCUAAAUGUCAAAGGUAAAGUUAUUGUGGGAACUCCAAAAAGUUCAAGUGAGAGCUCAUUCUAUGAGUGACCAUUUACACCUAAUUUUUUUCUGUGCUAUAUUACUUAUUCUGAAGUGGUUGAUCCAGUUCCUAAAAGGGAAUAUUUCAUUACCUUUCAUUUCCUGUAGCAUCCAUUCUGACCCCUUUAUCAGUUUAAUUAUUCCCUGAUUCCAGUCUUCAUUCACUCAUUUAUUUGAGAAAUAUUUAUUAACCAACAACUAUGCCAGGUCCUAUUCUAUGUGUAGGGGCUAUAAAGUUGAACAAGACAGAGGAGGUACUGGCCUCAGAAUUUGCAUUCUAGUAGAAGAUGAGAAAGUAAAAAUAAACACAUGGAAACAUGAAUGAACCGUAUAUUAUAGACUGUGAUAGGUGUAGUUUGGGUAAAGCACAGAGUACAGUAGUAAAGAUAAACUGGGUUCAGAGUGGGGCUAUUUUAGAUGGAAUGGAGAUCUCUGAGGAAAUGAAAUUUGAGCUGAGACCUAAAAGGUCACCCAAGGACUCAUGGGAAAACUCAGUUGUUUCUAUCAAAAUUAGGCUUCAUGAACUCCAGGCCCUUGCAAGUGAUGGUUACCAAGUGGGAAAUGUCUCACUGGCAACAGAGGUUGGCAGACCCAGCUCCAGUUCCAUCCCAGCCAACAUACCAAUGUCAUUAAAAUAAGGCCAUUCAUCAAGCUGGAGACUAUUACUAGAAACAAGCAUUCUAAAGUGCCAUUCGAGUGCCAGGCUCUCAACACUGGGCAUAAUACUGCUCCAUGAGGCUUUUGAGAGCAUGUACUGAGGCAUGACCAAAAAAAUUAAGUCCCAUGUAAGUGAUGCAACUGCUCUCCAAUUACUGUAGAAGUAUCUGCAGACUAACUAUUGUGCGUGUGUGUUUGUUUGCUUUAAUGAAUAAAUUCAGUCAACCAACCAUCUAGCUAAUGACUAAAUCCAUUCUUUUUCUUCCAAAAUAACUGUCUAUUGGCUGAAGUUUACUGGUUUUUAUUUCUAUUUGCAUACAUAAUUUUCUAAACCCCAUUCUUAUGGAACCUUCUCUAAGUUCCUCUCUAUGGCCCUGUUCCAUGUUCAUACGGAUACACACAAAGACACAAAUACACCAAACUAAGUUUAGAGCAGUCUGGUGCCUGCCUAAGACUUCGGCCUCAUCUCCUGCUUCUACCCUCUUUAGUUUAGGAAAAACAGGUAACGUUACUGAGUGCCAAGUAUUGUGCUAGUAGCUUUGCAUGCAUUUUUUCAUUUUAUCUUCACAGGUUUCUUCUAUCACCAUAAUCUGUAUGUUUGACCAUGGUGUUUCCUCCACCUGAAAUUCCCUUGGUGCUCUGCCUGGGGAACUGUUACUCAUUCUUCAAAUCUCAACGGAAUGAUCUCCUCCUCUGGAAAGCUCUCCCUACUUCCCUAGGAAGAAGUAAUCCCUUCCUCAGUUCUGCUUUGAUUAUAACUUUAUAAGCACCUAUCACUCUGCAUGGUAUUAGUCCACUGUCAUGUCCAUUUCCUCCACUGGGAUGUAAAUUGCUUACGGGUAAUAAUUAGGCUUUGAAUCAUUUUAUGAUCUGGCCUAAGACAGUGCUUGUCACAUACUAUAGGCUCAUCAGAUGAUGGCUAAGUAGAAUUAAAUUGAAUCAAGUUGAAGUUAUCAUUUUGAUGUUUAUCAAUUAACAUGUGUAGUGUGUUAAAUGGUGGUCACUAAAAACAUAUGUAUGCACCCUAAUUCCUGGAACUUGUGAAGAUAACCUUACGUGUUAAGAAGAAAUAUGACCUUAAAUGGAUAUGGAGACAAGGAGCUUAUCCUGGAUUGUCUGAGAGGGCCCUAGAUGCAAUUGCAUGUAUUCUGAUAAAUGGAGAGAAACAGAAGAGGAGGAUGCAUUGUGACCAUGUAGGCAGAAGUUUGAAUGGUGCAGCCACAAGCCAAGGAGCCCCUGGGGUCAUCAGAAGCUGGAAGAAGCAAGGAAUGGAAUCCUUCCUAGUGUUUGGAAGGAGUGUGCACUUGCCAACACCUUGGUUUGAGACUUCUGGCCUCCAGAACUGUGACAGAAUAAAAUAUCUGUUGUUUUGAGCCACCCAAUUGUUGCUAAUUUGUUAAAGCCACCCUAGAAAAUUAAUAUAGCAUCUGCAAUAACAUUUCUCAAAAUAUAUGUUCCUGUGAAAUGGAAGAGUUCUAGGGAUCUAAUAGCAUAUAAGGAACCCAGAUAAGUUAUACAAGUUUUUCCCUGAAAGUCUUUUCAGAUUCUUUAGCAGGCCAAGGUGCAUUGUGAAUCCCAAAAACUUUAGCGUUUUUCAGCAUCUAUUAUCACAGAAUCCUUUCCCCACCCAUGGAAUUGUAUACUAACCUAUUUUUGUAGAUGUUGAUGUUCUGUAGAACAGUUUUGGGGUCUAUAUGACUUAAGAUCCUUCUACAAUGGAACACAGUGAAGAGGGUAUUCAGAGGAGGUAUAGAGGGCAUUGAUCUUGCAAUAUAUACUCAGGAAAUUACCAUGGGCAGAAUAAAAUGCUUUUGAAAGU
RNAcentral lists this long non-coding RNA (2960 nucleotides) under Pongo abelii (Sumatran orangutan). Its description in RNAcentral is "lincRNA". The record is from RNAcentral. Lineage: Eukaryota; Metazoa; Chordata; Mammalia; Primates; Hominidae.